This 472-nucleotide ribosomal RNA is filed under the name uncultured bacterium. RNAcentral's name for it is "partial 16S ribosomal RNA". It matches the Rfam family "Bacterial small subunit ribosomal RNA", at positions 28 to 507 of the family's 1533-position model. The record is from RNAcentral.
GACGAACGCUGGCGGCGUGCUUAACACAUGCAAGUCGAGCGGAAAGGCCCUUCGGGGUACUCGAGCGGCGAACGGGUGAGUAACACGUGAGUAAUCUGCCCUUGGCUUUGGGAUAACUACCGGAAACGGUGGCUAAUACCGGAUACGACAACCGUCUGCAUGGGCUGGUUGUGGAAAGUUUUUUCGGCCAGGGAUGUGCUCGCGGCCUAUCAGCUUGUUGGUGGGGUAAUGGCCUACCAAGGCUUCGACGGGUAGCCGGCCUGAGAGGGUGACCGGCCACACUGGGACUGAGACACGGCCCAGACUCCUACGGGAGGCAGCAGUGGGGAAUAUUGGACAAUGGGCGGAAGCCUGAUCCAGCAACGCCGCGUGAGGGAUGACGGCCGUCGGGUUGUAAACCUCUUUCAGUACCGACGAAGCGCCGAUGAUGGUGGUGACGGUAGGUACAGAAGAAGCACCGGCCAACUACGUG